RNAcentral lists this ribosomal RNA (445 nucleotides) under uncultured bacterium. RNAcentral describes it as "partial 16S ribosomal RNA". It matches the Rfam family "Bacterial small subunit ribosomal RNA", at positions 354 to 796 of the family's 1533-position model. The record is from RNAcentral.
GUGAGGAAUAUUGGUCAAUGGACGAGAGUCUGAACCAGCCAAGUCGCGUGAAGGAAGACGGUUCUAUGAAUUGUAAACUUCUUUUGUGCAGGAAUAAAGUGGGUUACGUGUAACCUUUUGUAUGUACUGUACGAAUAAGGAUCGGCUAACUCCGUGCCAGCAGCCGCGGUAAUACGGAGGAUCCGAGCGUUAUCCGGAUUUAUUGGGUUUAAAGGGUGCGUAGGUGGAUUGAUAAGUCAGCGGUGAAAGUUUGCAGCUUAACGGUAAAAUUGCCGUUGAAACUGUCGGUCUUGAGUGCAAAUGAGGUAGGCGGAAUGUGUUGUGUAGCGGUGAAAUGCUUAGAUAUAACACAGAACUCCGAUUGCGAAGGCAGCUUACUGGGAUGCAACUGACACUGAUGCACGAAAGCGUGCGUAUCAAACAGGAUUAGAAACCCCAGUAGUCC